AUUCUGCCCAUGCGGGGAAGGAUGAGAAGCUUCGACUAAGGUUCGACUCGAGCGCCAGCGAGAGAGCGUUGCCGCAGGCAACGACCCAAAGGGCGAAGCGCGCAGCGCUGAGUAAUCCUUCCCCCACCACCA
RNAcentral lists this small RNA (132 nucleotides) under Escherichia sp. E1130. Its description in RNAcentral is "RtT sRNA". It matches the Rfam family "RtT RNA". From Rfam's summary of the family: This family represents a bacterial cis-regulatory element known as RtT RNA. Lineage: Bacteria; Pseudomonadati; Pseudomonadota; Gammaproteobacteria; Enterobacterales; Enterobacteriaceae. The record is from RNAcentral.